Molecule: unclassified non-coding RNA, 295 nt
Organism: Monodelphis domestica (gray short-tailed opossum)
Lineage: Eukaryota; Metazoa; Chordata; Mammalia; Didelphimorphia; Didelphidae
Rfam family: Metazoan signal recognition particle RNA
About the family: The signal recognition particle (SRP) is a universally conserved ribonucleoprotein. It is involved in the co-translational targeting of proteins to membranes. The eukaryotic SRP consists of a 300-nucleotide 7S RNA and six proteins: SRPs 72, 68, 54, 19, 14, and 9.
Source: Ensembl
GUUGGGCAUGGAAACAUACCUGCAAUUCCAACUAACAUGGAAGCUGAGACUGGUGGAUCUCUUGAGCUUGGGAGUUCUGCGUUGCAGUAACUUAGCCAUUUGGAUAUCCAAACCAAGUUGGCAUUAAUAUGGUAAGCUCCUAGGAGUCCAGGGCUACCAGGUUGCCUAAGGAGAAAUUCACAGGUCUAAGUGAGAAACCAAGCAGGCCAAAGCUCUCAUGCCAAUUGGUAGUGGGAUGAGGUCCAUGAGUAGCCCUGACCUUUUGAACUGGGUUGAGAAAGAGAAACUGACUCUU